CCUACGGGAGGCAGCAGUGGGGAAUCUUCCGCAAUGGGCGAAAGCCUGACGGAGCAACGCCGCGUGAUCGAAUGAAGGCCUUCGGGUUGUAAAGAUCUGUUGCCAGGGACGAAUAAGCAAUGCGAAUAGUUUUGUGUAUGACGGUACCUGUUUAGAAAGCUCCGGCUAACUACGUGCCAGCAGCCGCGGUAAUACGUAGGGAGCAAGCGUUGUCCGGAAUUACUGGGCGUAAAGGGCGCGUAGGUGGGCGCUUAAGUCAGGUGUGAAAUCCUAUGGCUUAACCAUAGAACUGCAUUUGAAACUGU
RNAcentral lists this ribosomal RNA (305 nucleotides) under uncultured bacterium. RNAcentral describes it as "bacterial SSU rRNA". It matches the Rfam family "Bacterial small subunit ribosomal RNA", at positions 338 to 636 of the family's 1533-position model. The record is from RNAcentral.